CAGUCGCCGCGGUAAUACGGAGGGCGCGAGCGUUACCCGGAUUUACUGGGCGUAAAGGGCGUGUAGGCGGCCUGGGGCGUCCCAUGUGAAAGGCCACGGCUCAACCGUGGAGGAGCGUGGGAUACGCUCAGGCUAGAGGGUGGGAGAGGGUGGUGGAAUUCCCGGAGUAGCGGUGAAAUGCGCAGAUACCGGGAGGAACGCCGAUGGCGAAGGCAGCCACCUGGUCCACUUCUGACGCUGAGGCGCGAAAGCGUGGGGAGCAAACAGGAUUAGAUACCCGGGUAGUCCCUGUCUCUUAUAC
This 301-nucleotide ribosomal RNA is filed under the name uncultured bacterium. RNAcentral's name for it is "partial 16S ribosomal RNA". It matches the Rfam family "Bacterial small subunit ribosomal RNA", at positions 509 to 807 of the family's 1533-position model. The record is from RNAcentral.